GAGAAAGGCACAGUUUUCGGCUAUCACUCGUAUCAGUGUGAUGCUGGGCCGGCGCCGGCGCACCGAACUACGUGUGGCGCGGUUCUACCCACCUAUAGAAACCACACUCAAAUAGCUAUAAACAGGAUAGUUUGAUACCAUGGCGCUGAACAAGAUUAUGGUCUAUUCUGGCGUCGCCACCUUGCUCCAAGCGAUUGGGCAGGCGAUCUUCGCAUCACUCGGCGUAGCUCAAUAUUUCUGCGUCAUCGACUUUUUAAGAGGGCUGCCCGUUCUACUAUAUAUAAGGAUUCUCUAUUUCCAUAACCCCAACAGUUGCGGCGAGAGAGUGAACAUCGGAGAAGUUAUCGACGGUAUUGUGGACCAAGCCUUCGUUUUGAUAAGAAAUGAACCGACCCCUGUGUUCAGAACUUUCAUCGUCAACUGCGUCAGUCUCGGCCUCAGCGUGUUUUGGAUAAUGAGCAGUGUUUUUAUGUUGAUGGGUGGAGCAAGAGAUGAGCAGACAAAAUGCAGGAGAUGGCCCUGGAUUAUAACGACGGUGGCCGCGUGCGGACUGGACCUGGUGGCAGCUGUGACAUAUGCCAACGACUCCUUCCAUACUAGGACCAUGAAAGAUAUGAUGGAUUUCAUCGACGGGACCGCCAGUGGUCUUGGUGACACACAGCUGAACACCGCCUGGGCAUCUUGGAUCAUGGUCAUAUUAUACUCCCGCUUCGUCAUCCUUUUCAUUCUAAACGUCAUCCUUCUAAUCAUUGUCAUCGUGGACUGCAAUGUUAAGAAGGAACCUGUCAAAGAUGAGAAUGUAGAAGCCCCGUCUCCCCCACCAGUUCAGGCGGCAGUACCAGCUCCUCAAGUUGUAGUUCCAGUGCAAGUUUCCACAGCAGUCCAAGCGAGCCCCCCUCAAGAUCCCACUCCACCACUCACCACCGACGGAAUCAGUGACAGAGAUGAUGAACUUGGCAGCUUGCCCAGUGAAAGGGUGACGACGCACAUACCCCGAGCAGGGUUAAGCAGAUCCUUCCGAAGAAUGAAAGCUUUUCUGUUUAGGAAGACCCCGUCGCCAGUGCAAACGAGAUCUAGUCCUGAUUCAUUGCAACCUUCUCCUGAGAGAUCUCCGCGCGCCCAGCAUUUCGAAGGGGACAUAGACAAGAAGCGCACGGUGAACUUCCCAACCAGCCUGAUGUCGUUACCACAGAGGUUGGAGAACAUUAUGGCUGAACAGCAAAGACGCCUGGACCAGUCCGUCAUAGACACGUCGGGACGCGCCAGUCCGCCGCGCGCUUCGCAGUCCAUGCCUCAUCUAGCUUCCACCUCCAACCAAACUGAUGGACGAGGUCUGAAUGAGUCUUCUGUCUCGCUUCGAGACUUCUUUGAAGGCGCGGAACUACGGCCGAGCUACAGGGGCAGCUUCCCUGGUCGUAUAUACCGGCGUCCGCGCACCGCAUGCGGGACCAACUCCCUCCGGACGAGGACUUGCCGCCGGUACCUCUCCCGGACUACACCGCCCUCCAGCCCGUUAGAAAAGCAUCCGUCCAUCGAGGGGCUUCCAGCUUAAGCUCUCUCACACAGAAGAAAGAUUAUGCGACAUCCCGGUCUGUGCGUUGUGAGUAUUACACAUACAAGAAGACUUAACACCAGUCAUACAUGCUUCCCAAACAGCGUUAAAUGAAUCCGACGUUCUAUACUAAUUUAAUUAAUAAGGAUUGCCUGCUGUAAAAACAAUCUCAGAUUAGUUCAAUUGGCAAUUUGUUUUACAGUAAUAAAAUCUAUAUUUUUUGGUUAUGUUUGACAAAGUAUGCGAAAACUAGUUUGAUCGGAGAUCCUUUUUUGUAAAUAACACUUAGACAUAAGGAAAAUUAUGUUAAAAUGCUAGUGCUUAUUUAAAAGUAUUUAUUAUUCUCUUAUUUUUAUAAAAACAGUGUACUUUGGUUUAGUUAUAUUUCAUAUAUUAUUUUAUAAAAAUAAUAACUGAUGUUGAACACAGUGCAAUAUCGGAUUAUUAUUUAUUGUAUUAUUAAAUUAUAGUAGAAUUGUUCAACAGAGCUUUCUGAUUUCAAUUUACAAUGAGAUAUUGUUAAGCUCGACUCUUAGUAUAAGGUAUAAUUUAUAAUUGUUAACAUCAUGCACUUUGUAAUAAAGAUAUAGGAAACUAACGUUUUAGAUUUUAUACCCUAUGGAUAUUCAAUAAAUUUCGUAUAAUAACAUA
Helicoverpa armigera (cotton bollworm) is the source of this 2203-nucleotide RNA transcript. It is a transcript of the gene named histone-lysine N-methyltransferase set-2, with no coding region annotated. Lineage: Eukaryota; Metazoa; Arthropoda; Insecta; Lepidoptera; Noctuidae. The transcript is spliced from 11 exons. The record is from RefSeq and is a predicted model, not a curated record.